Molecule: ribosomal RNA, 1149 nt
Filed under: Triticum aestivum (bread wheat)
Lineage: Eukaryota; Viridiplantae; Streptophyta; Magnoliopsida; Poales; Poaceae
Description: partial small subunit ribosomal RNA
Source: RNAcentral
CCAGGAGUAGUUACAGAGUUCAAGCUUGUUCGUGUCCUAAACCUUCAACUAACUGGUCAAGGCCACCGUGAUGAUGAUAUAGCAGACCUCACUGGGAUUUCAGAAAUGUUUCAACUGAGAUAUUUGAAGAUUGCAUCUGAUGUCUGCAUCAAACUGCCGAACAAUGUGCUACAGUACCUGGGAACACUGGAUAUUACAGAUGCAAGAUUUGCUCCUGUUCCAUGGGAUGUGAAUUUUCCACGGUUGCUGCACUUGCACCUGAGUCUUCCUGUCCAGAGAGAUCUGCUGGAUUGGGUGGAUAGAAUAGGGUCUCCCAGUUUAAUGAGCCUUGGCACGCUGAACUACCUGCAGGAGCUUCAUCUUACAAUUUCUUCAUUGUCUACUUUCAAGCAUGUGGUGAAAAACAUGGAAGCUCUGGGUUCUUUACUUGGAGGUCAUGACAACCUGAAAUCUAUAGCAGUGGCUCAUGCCUCACCGGUUAAAAAUACCGCAGCUUCAAAAACAAACAUUUUAUGGGAUUGUAUGGAACCUCCCCCCCUUCUCCAGAGAUUUGAAUUCUCACCACACAUCAGCUGCAUAUUCUCACAGGUACCUUCGUGGGUUGGAAAACUUGGCAACCUAUGCAUUUUGAAGAUUGCAGUGAGGGAGCUGAUGAUGAAUUCUGUCAAUAUUCUCAGAGGAUUGCCUGCCCUGACUGCUCUAUCUUUGUAUGUGGAGACAGCGCCUGAUGACAAUAUCAUCUUUGACAAGGCCGGGUUCUCAGUUCUUAAGUACUUCAAGUUUACGUUCAUGCGGGGUAUAGCUUGGGUAAAAUUUGAGGCGGAUGCAAUGCCUAAUCUCUGGAAGCUCAAGCUAGUUUUCAAGGCCAUCCCCCCAAUGGACCAUCCCCAGUGGAGAACCUAUGGACAUGGUACAGCAUUAAUCAACAUCGAUUAUAUGCCAGGCCUUAGAGAGAUCUUCACAAAAUUUGGGGGUACAGCUGCUGAUCUGGAGUAUGUCACGAGGAUUGGCAUAGCUAGUAAUCAUCCAAGCAAUCCUAUAAUUGACGUGCAAUUAGUGGAUUCUGGUUCCUAUGUUGAUGAAAGCACCGAGACUGAAAUAACAAGCACACAUGAGAUUUUGGAGGAAAAACCAGAUAGCAUAAACUGG